AUUGAACGCUGGCGGCAGGCCUAACAUAUGCAAGUCGAGCGGGGUUUUCGGACCUAGCGGCGGACGGGUGAGUAAUGCGUAGGAAGCUGCCCGAUAGAGGGGGAUACCAGUUGGAAACGACUGUUAAUACCGCAUAAUGUCUACGGACCAAAGUGUGGGACCUUCGGGCCACAUGCUAUCGGAUGCGCCUACGUGGGAUU
Molecule: ribosomal RNA, 200 nt
Filed under: uncultured bacterium
Lineage: Bacteria
Description: partial 16S ribosomal RNA
Rfam family: Bacterial small subunit ribosomal RNA
Source: RNAcentral